This is a non-coding RNA of Motacilla alba alba, 314 nucleotides long. RefSeq annotates it as small Cajal body-specific RNA 2. The record is from RefSeq and is a predicted model, not a curated record. Lineage: Eukaryota; Metazoa; Chordata; Aves; Passeriformes; Motacillidae. The transcript has a single exon.
GCGUGAGUGUGUGUGCGCGUGAGUGUGUGUGUGAGUGUGCGCGCGUGUGAGUGUGUGUGCGAGCGCGUGAGUGUGUGCGCGCGUGAGUGUGCGCGCGCGUGUGUGCGAGUCACGGGUGUCCGUGUGUGUGUGUGAGGCGCCAGCCACCCUCCCGUCCCUACACGUUGAUCUUAUUCGAUCGGCCGGGCCCCGCCGGGCCGAGGUGAGAAGAAAGCGCCGCGAAGCCCUCGGGCGCUGUGCGGCUGGGCCGGGCGGGAUGAGUCGAUCAGAUAGGCGAGGCCACGGCCGCUGAGCGCCCUGCGAUUCUGACCCGC